CCUACGGGAGGCAGCAGUGGGGAAUAUUGGACAAUGGGGGAAACCCUGAUCCAGCGACGCCGCGUGAGUGAAGAAGUAUUUCGGUACGUAAAGCUCCAUCAGCAGGAAAGAAAAUGACGGUACCUGACUACGAAGCCCCGGCUAACUACGUGCCAGCAGCCGCGGUAAUACGGAGGGGGCAAGCGUUAUCCGGAUUUACUGGGUGUAAAGGGAGCGUAGACGGCAGCGCAAGUCUGGAGUGAAAUGCCUGGGCCCAACCCCGGAACUGCUGUGGAAACUGUGAAGCUGGAGUGCAGGAGAGGUAAGCGGAAUGCCUGGUGUAGCGGUGAAAUGCGUAGAUAUCAGGAGGAACACCGGCGGCGAAGGCGGCUUACUGGACUGUAACUGACGUUGAGGCUCGAAGGCGUGGGGAGCAAACAGGAUUAGAUACCCGAGUAGUC
RNAcentral lists this ribosomal RNA (440 nucleotides) under uncultured bacterium. RNAcentral's name for it is "partial 16S ribosomal RNA". It matches the Rfam family "Bacterial small subunit ribosomal RNA", at positions 338 to 795 of the family's 1533-position model. The record is from RNAcentral.